This 28-nucleotide non-coding RNA is filed under the name Mus musculus (house mouse). The record is from RNAcentral. Lineage: Eukaryota; Metazoa; Chordata; Mammalia; Rodentia; Muridae.
UGAGGAAGCAUGAACACGAGCGCAGGGA